RNAcentral lists this ribosomal RNA (449 nucleotides) under uncultured bacterium. RNAcentral describes it as "partial 16S ribosomal RNA". It matches the Rfam family "Bacterial small subunit ribosomal RNA", at positions 29 to 523 of the family's 1533-position model. The record is from RNAcentral.
AACGAACGCUGGCGGCAGGCCUAACACAUGCAAGUCGAACGCCGUAGCAACACGGAGUGGCAGACGGGUGAGUAACGCGUGGGAACCUUCCCUAUGGUUCGGAAUAGCUCAGGGAAACCUGGGGUAAUACCGGAUAAGCCCUUCGGGGGAAAGAUUUAUCGCCAUUGGAUGGGCCCGCGUAGGAUUAGCUAGUUGGUGAGGUAAUGGCUCACCAAGGCGACGAUCCUUAGCUGGUCUGAGAGGAUGAUCAGCCACACUGGGACUGAGACACGGCCCAGACUCCUACGGGAGGCAGCAGUGGGGAAUAUUGGACAAUGGGCGCAAGCCUGAUCCAGCCAUGCCGCGUGAGUGACGAAGGCCUUAGGGUUGUAAAGCUCUUUUGGCGGGGAAGAUAAUGACGGUACCCGCAGAAUAAGCUCCGGCUAACCUCGUGCCAGCAGCCGCCGUAA